Molecule: long non-coding RNA, 989 nt
Filed under: Homo sapiens (human)
Lineage: Eukaryota; Metazoa; Chordata; Mammalia; Primates; Hominidae
Description: LHRI_LNC417.1
Source: RNAcentral
CUGCCUUGUGAAGAAUGUGUCUGCUUCCCCUUCUGCGAUGAUUUUAAGUUUCCUGAAGCCUCCCCAGCCAUGUGGAGCUGUAUCUCCUUCAAGUUGGCAACUUGUCACCGAGUCUCGCUCUGUCACCCAGGCUGAAGAGCAGUGGCGCCAUCUUGGCUCACUGAAAGCUCCGCCUCUCGGGUUCAUGCCAUUCUCCUGCUUCAGCCUCCUGAGUAGCUGGGACUACAGGCACCCGGCACCACGCCAGUCUAAUUUUGUUUUUGUAUUUUUAAUAGAGACGGAGUUUCACCGUGUUAGUCAGGAUGGUCUUGAUCUCCUGACCUCGUGAUACACCCGCCUCGGCAUCCCAAAGUGCUGAGAUUACAGGCGUGAGCCACUGCACCCAGCCUUGGGAGACUUUUAUGGAACAUUUGUUGUAAUUUUAAAAUAAAUUUACCAAUAUUUUCUUUCUUGUUUUUACUUUUUGGCUGCUUUUAUAGAAGUCCCCCAUUAAAAAAAAAAAAAAAAAACCUUCAGAUGAUAACAAAUAUUCUCCUUCACUUCCUUCUAAAAUUUUAAGUUGUCCUUUUUCACAUUUCAGUCUUCAUUCUACCUGGAAUUGAUUGGGACAUUUGGUGAGAUUCUAAUAACCAUGCCACAUCAAAAUUGUAGGACUACAAUUUCAAUUUUCUUUUGUGUGUUAGAUGACUAAUUCCCAUUGAAUCACUGAUACUUUUCAUAGUGAUUAGUAAUGCCGACUCUGCAAUGUGUCAUGUUUCCACAAAUCUUGGCCCUGAUUCUGAGCUCAUUAUUCUGUUUCUUAGGCAAUUUUAUUACUAUAUCAAUGCCACUGUAUUAAUUACUAGGGAAAUACACUGCUAUCUUGCUUGGCAAUGUUCAUCAUGUCACAAGAACUGUCUUAGAUCUUCUUGGGCUUUAUUCUACCAUAUGCACUUUAAAAUAAAUUUUAUUGUAUUAAUUUUUAAUUAAUAUGAAAAACAGCAACCACC